CACGAACUUAAGUGAGCUAGCUUCGUUCAGUGUAAUGAUUAAUGUAGUAUAAUUUGAAAAUAGAAGAAGCUAGGGGUGAUAGGCCCUCAAAUAUAAAGAUAGCUUGUUUUUUCUUAAAGGUAUUUAGUACAUAUAUGGUUCGAUAGUGAUAAGGAUAUCGAAUAGAAUUAAAUAAAAUCAUAAUAUCUUACAAAUUUAAUAGUUAGUAGGUUAUAUUAUUUAACAUUUAUGUUUAGAAAUUAUUUAAAUUAAGGGAAAGUACUAUAACUAAUUAUAAUAUUAAUAAUGUUACUAUUAGUAGUUGUUAAGAUAGUUUUAAUGAACUCGGCAAAACACUUUUCAACUGUUUAUCAAAAACAUAGCCAUAUGUAGGAUAUAUGGUAAUUUCUGCUCAAUGAAUUUUAAAUAGCUGCAGUACUCUGACUGUGCAAAGGUAGCGCAAUCAAUUGGCCUUUAAUUGGGGUCUUGUAUGAAUGGAUAAAUGGGAAGUGACUGUAUCAGAAUACAUUAUUAAUUUAUUGAAUUAAGUGAAAAUUCUUAUAUUUAAAUAAUAGACGAGAAGACCCUUGAAAUUUUAAGAAUAGGCUAUACAUACUUUUUGUUGGGGCAACAAAGUAACAAAGAAUUUACUGUUAGAGCAUAAAAACUAUUGUGACGAAGUUUAAAUUACUCUAGGGAUAACAGCAUAAUUUCAUAAUAGCUUGUGACCUCGAUGUUGGAUUAGGGAUUUACCAUUUAGAA
This 741-nucleotide ribosomal RNA is filed under the name Noctepuna mayana. RNAcentral's name for it is "partial 16S ribosomal RNA". The stretch from base 338 to 488 matches the Rfam family "Archaeal large subunit ribosomal RNA", at positions 1886 to 2087 of the family's 2987-position model. Lineage: Eukaryota; Metazoa; Mollusca; Gastropoda; Stylommatophora; Camaenidae. The record is from RNAcentral.